Molecule: ribosomal RNA, 433 nt
Filed under: uncultured bacterium
Lineage: Bacteria
Description: partial 16S ribosomal RNA
Rfam family: Bacterial small subunit ribosomal RNA
Source: RNAcentral
AACGAACGCUGGCGGCAUGCCUAACACAUGCAAGUCGAACGAACCCUUCGGGUCUAGUGGCGCACGGGUGCGUCACGCGUGGGAACCUGCCCUUAGGUUCGGAAUAACUCCCCGAAAGGGGUGCUAAUACCGGAUAAUGUCUUCGGCCCAAAGAUUUAUCGCCUUUGGAUGGGCCCGCGUUGGAUUAGCUUGUUGGUAGGGUAAAAGCCUACCAAGGCGACGAUCCAUAGCUGGUCUGAGAGGAUGAUCAGCCACACUGGGACUGAGACACGGCCCAGACUCCUACGGGAGGCAGCAGUGGGGAAUAUUGGACAAUGGGCGAAAGCCUGAUCCAGCAAUGCCGCGUGAGUGAUGAAGGCCUUAGGGUUGUAAAGCUCUUUUAACCGGGAUGAUAAUGACAGUACCGGGAGAAUAAGCUCCGGCUAACUCCGUG